CCUACGGGAGGCAGCAGUGAGGAAUAUUGGGCAAUGGACGAAACUCUGACCCAGCCAUGUCGCGUGAAUGAAGAAGGUCCUCGGAUUGUUAAGUUUCUUAGUCAGGGAAGAAUAAAAUGACGGUACCUGAAGAAUAAGCUUCGGCUAACUACGUGCCAGCAGCAGCGGCAAUACGUCGGGAGCAAGCGUUGUUCGGAAUGACUGGGCGUAAGGGGUGCGUAGGCGGUUAUACAAGUUAGAAGUGAAAUACCCAGGGCUUAACUCGGGUGCUGCUUCUAAAACUGUAAGACUUGAGUGCAGUAGAGGUAAGUGGAAUUCCUAGUGUAGCGGUGGAAUGCGUAGAUAUUAGGAAGAACACCAGUGGCGAAGGCAGCUAACUGGACUGCAACUGACGCUGAGGCACGAAAGUGUGGGUAGCAAACAGGAUUAGAUACCCUAGUAGUC
This 444-nucleotide ribosomal RNA is filed under the name uncultured bacterium. RNAcentral's name for it is "partial 16S ribosomal RNA". It matches the Rfam family "Bacterial small subunit ribosomal RNA", at positions 338 to 795 of the family's 1533-position model. The record is from RNAcentral.